Molecule: ribosomal RNA, 484 nt
Filed under: uncultured bacterium
Lineage: Bacteria
Description: bacterial SSU rRNA
Rfam family: Bacterial small subunit ribosomal RNA
Source: RNAcentral
GACGAACGCUGGCGGCGUGCCUAACACAUGCAAGUCGAGCGGAGUCGAUCGACGGAAGCCUUCGGGCGGAAGAUGGUUGACUUAGCGGCGGAUGGGUGAGUAACGCGUGGGCAACCUGCCUCGAAGACCGGGAUAACAGCCCGAAAGGGCUGCUAAUACCGGAUGUGGUCAAGGAUCCGCAUGGAUUUUUGAUUAAAGGGGAAACCCGUUUCGAGAUGGGCCCGCGUCCUAUCAGCUAGUUGGUGAGGUAAAAGCUCACCAAGGCGACGACGGGUAGCCGGCCUGAGAGGGUGACCGGCCACACUGGAACUGAGACACGGUCCAGACUCCUACGGGGGCAGCAGUGGGGAAUCUUCCACAAUGGGCGAAAAGCCUGAUGGAGCGACGCCGCGUGAGCGAAGAAGGCCUUCGGGUUGUAAAGCGUCUGUCUGGAGGGACGAAGGAAGUGACGGUACCUCCGGAGGAAGCCACGGCUAACUACGUG